This 492-nucleotide ribosomal RNA is filed under the name uncultured bacterium. RNAcentral's name for it is "partial 16S ribosomal RNA". It matches the Rfam family "Bacterial small subunit ribosomal RNA", at positions 30 to 507 of the family's 1533-position model. The record is from RNAcentral.
AUUGAACGCUGGCGGCGUGCCUUACACAUGCAAGUCGAACGGAAACACGCGUACCGGUCCCCUCGAGUGUUGACCGGGUGAGUGAUGCAAACACACGUAUCCCGAACUGAUGAAUAAGGCAUCGAAACGUGAGCCAAUACCGCAUACGAGCUGAUGAUGAAAGCGGCGGACCACAAAGGAAAGUGUGGCCUUGCGCCUUUCUAAUAGCCGAUGCCGGAUUAGAUAGUUUGUUGGGUAAGGGCCUACCAAGCCGAGGCUCCGUAGCUGGUCCGAGAGGAUGGACCGCCCAACUUGAACCGGGGCACGGUCCCGACCCCUACGGGAGGCAGCCGGAGGGAAUCUUCCGCAAUGGGCGGAAGCCUGACGGAGCAACGCCGCGUGGGUGAUGAAGGUCUUCGGAUCGUAAAACCCUGUUAUUAGGGAAGAAAAAAUGUGUAAGUAACUAUGCACGUCUUGACGGUAACUAAACAAAAAGCCACGGCUAACUUCGUG